AACUCUCAAAGAUCUUAAGAUGCAAAGGGGUGUUGGGAAGAGGAAACAUCCUUCAGAUACUAAUCCUCUAUAAUGUGCAGAAGAGAUCAUCUUUCUUCCAGAGGAGAUCUUCAGGGAGAAUUUCUCAGCAUGUUUUUAUUUUUCAUCUAAGAGUGGCCAGACACUGUUUAAGCAGUAAAGGACCAUCAACAGGACACUACAUACUUUUCACCUUACUCUGUGUAUGAAGUGCAGAAAUUGCAUGCCUUCUAAAUGCCACACAGUUUUUGGUAAAAUGAAGACUGCAUGGUGCACAGAAACAAAUGAAGUACAUUUCCAUGAGAACUGGACACAAAUACCUGUAGUCUUUUACAAAAAUUACCGUGCUACAAGCCUACCCCAAGUACUUCUACUCGCAGUUGUGCAAUGUCCUCUCCUAGAAGAUGGUGCAUUCCAGCUGCUCUGUCACUGUAUGCUAACAUAG
Molecule: long non-coding RNA, 463 nt
Filed under: Zonotrichia albicollis (white-throated sparrow)
Lineage: Eukaryota; Metazoa; Chordata; Aves; Passeriformes; Passerellidae
Description: lncRNA (ENSZALG00000012748.1)
Source: RNAcentral